Molecule: small RNA, 599 nt
Filed under: Histoplasma capsulatum
Lineage: Eukaryota; Fungi; Ascomycota; Eurotiomycetes; Onygenales; Ajellomycetaceae
Also listed under: 1 other name
Description: hypothetical RNA
Source: RNAcentral
AUCCCCCUCCACCUAUCCUCCUUUCAACACAACUAUUCCGUUUUUCUAAUGUGUCUUUAUGACGUUGUAGAAAUCCUACGUUUCAACUCCGUUCCUAGCAUAUUUUUCCUCCUGUUCGUUUGCUCCUUGACGAGCUUUCCACCAGUCCCACAAUUUUUGCAGUCACACAUCCAAAUGACCGCAUUCCCAACUUCAUGAGUUUCCCUUCCCCCGCUCAAUCUUUGAUUGCUUCUGGCACCGACAAGCCAUCAGCUUCCAGGACGGCGAGAUCCCACCAGUCUGUCUGGGGUACAAGUGCGUCCCAAUCUAACGUCCGCCGUGGCCUGACGCCGCUAUCCACCAAUAUAUCCAAUUCAAACUCCAGUGUAUCACCUCCCCGGCGUCCUGCCCAGCCUCAUAGUCCAGCUCCUAGCGUUUCUGCGACAUCUCCCCUUACCUCCAGCUUUUCCGCAGUCCUGACAUCCUCUAAUCGCAUUCCCACCAACCGCCACAACUCUUCUCCGGCGCCUUCUCACGCCUCCUUCACUUCACACCAACAAGCUGGCUCACACCAACAGCAGCAACAGCAACAAAGCCAGCCAAUUUCAUCCCCCAAAAUC